GCGUUGGUGGUAUAGUGGUGAGCAUAGCUGCCUUCCAAGCAGUUGACCAGGGUUCGAAUCCCGGCCAAUGCA
RNAcentral lists this transfer RNA (72 nucleotides) under Danionella translucida. It matches the Rfam family "tRNA". From Rfam's summary of the family: Transfer RNA (tRNA) molecules are approximately 80 nucleotides in length. RNAcentral also lists the same sequence under 1 other name. The record is from Rfam by way of RNAcentral. Lineage: Eukaryota; Metazoa; Chordata; Actinopteri; Cypriniformes; Danionidae.